This 478-nucleotide ribosomal RNA is filed under the name uncultured bacterium. RNAcentral describes it as "partial 16S ribosomal RNA". It matches the Rfam family "Bacterial small subunit ribosomal RNA", at positions 28 to 507 of the family's 1533-position model. The record is from RNAcentral.
GAUGAACGCUGGCGGCGUGCCUAACACAUGCAAGUCGAACGGAGUCCAGCCUUUAAGACCUUCGGGUCAAAGAGGGGAAGACUGAGUGGCGGACGGGUGAGUAACACGUGGGCAACCUGGCUCAUAGAGGGGGAUAACAGAGAGAAAUUUCUGCUAAUACCGCAUAAGCACACACUGCCGCAUGGCAGGGGGUGAAAAGAGAAUCGCUAUGAGAUGGACCCGCGUCUGAUUAGCCAGUUGGCAGGGUAAGAGCCUACCAAAGCGACGAUCAGUAGCCGAUCUGAGAGGAUGAACGGCCACAUUGGGACUGAGACACGGCCCAAACUCCUACGGGAGGCAGCAGUGGGGGAUAUUGCACAAUGGGGGGAACCCUGAUGCAGCGACGCCGCGUGAGUGAAGAAGUAUUUCGGGAUGUAAAGCUCUAUCAGCAGGGAAGAUAAUGACAGUACCUGAAUAAGAAGCCCCGGCUAACUACGUG